Molecule: ribosomal RNA, 238 nt
Filed under: uncultured bacterium
Lineage: Bacteria
Description: partial 16S ribosomal RNA
Rfam family: Bacterial small subunit ribosomal RNA
Source: RNAcentral
CGGCACGGGUGAGUAACACGUAUCCAACCUGCCGUCUACUCUUGGCCAGCCUUCUGAAAGGAAGAUUAAUCCAGGAUGGCAUCAUGAGUUCACAUGUCCGCAUGAUUAAAGGUAUUUUCCGGUAGACGAUGGGGAUGCGUUCCAUUAGAUAGUAGGCGGGGUAACGGCCCACCUAGUCAACGAUGGGUAGGGGUUCUGAGAGGAAGGUCCCCCACAUUGGAACUGAGACACGGUCCAA